RNAcentral lists this unclassified non-coding RNA (614 nucleotides) under Hevea brasiliensis (rubber tree). The record is from RNAcentral. Lineage: Eukaryota; Viridiplantae; Streptophyta; Magnoliopsida; Malpighiales; Euphorbiaceae.
GAGAGAGAAAAGAGAGACAAGGAGGGAGAGAGAGGGAGGGAGGUGAGAGAAAAUGUGUGAGAAAUACAUAAUAUGAUAUGGGCAUUUUGGUCCAAAAAAUGUGAUUGUUCUUAAUUUUGUGAAAUCCAUUUCAAAUUCCGCCUAUUUUGAUAGGAAUUGAGUUUAGUUAUAUUCAACUGAAUUCGUGGAAUUGAAUUCAAAAUUUUUUUCAAACCAAGGCAAAGAUGCAAAACAUGGAAUUCAAUUUAUUUACCCAAAAUUUUGUGGAAUUCAUUUGAACGAAGCAGGGAAUAAAUAUUUUGAUUUUUUGUUUUCAUAUGUUUCCUUUAAAGAUAUUGCUUGCCUCUCUAUGUCUCUGCAGCAUGGGAAAUAGUUGGAUUUUAGCCCUUUGAGGAGUGCAUUGAUUAUCUGUACUCUGUAUUGUGAUUUCUUAUCGUUCUUGUUAUAUAAUUUUGUUCAAUAUAGAUACUAUGACAACUCAUUAGUGCACUUGGCACUAGAGGUUCCAUUUUCCAAAGUGAAUCUUGUUUGAUAACACUUCAUUGUAGAUUAAUAGUUCUUGUAAAAAUAUCAAACAACAACAACAACUAAGCUUUAAUCCCAAACUAGUUGGG